This 2741-nucleotide ribosomal RNA is filed under the name Ithone fulva. Its description in RNAcentral is "SSU rRNA". It matches the Rfam family "Eukaryotic small subunit ribosomal RNA". The record is from RNAcentral. Lineage: Eukaryota; Metazoa; Arthropoda; Insecta; Neuroptera; Ithonidae.
GUGAUCCUGCCAGUAGUCAUAUGCUUGUCUCAAAGAUUAAGCCAUGCAUGUCUCAGUACAAACCAUAUUAAGGUGAAACCGCGAAAGGCUCAUUAUAUCAGUUAUGGUUCCUUAGAUCGUACACACAUUUACUUGGAUAACUGUGGUAAUUCUAGAGCUAAUACAUGCAAACAGAGUUCCGACCAGAGAUGGAAGGAAUGCUUUUAUUAGAUCAAAACCAAUCGAUGGUAACCAUGCCAGAUUAUAUGUUUAUAUGUUUAUAUUUAUAUAUUUGGUGUUUUUUGGUUAUUAUCGUUUAAUUUGGUGACUCUGAAUAACUUUAAGCUGAUCGUACGGUCUUGUACCGACGACGCAUCUUUCAAAUGUCUGCCUUAUCAACUGUCGAUGGUAGGUUCUGCGCCUACCAUGGUUGUAACGGGUAACGGGGAAUCAGGGUUCGAUUCCGGAGAGGGAGCCUGAGAAACGGCUACCACAUCCAAGGAAGGCAGCAGGCGCGCAAAUUACCCACUCCCGGCACGGGGAGGUAGUGACGAAAAAUAACGAUACGGGACUCAUCCGAGGCCCCGUAAUCGGAAUGAGUACACUUUAAAUCCUUUAACGAGGAUCCAUUGGAGGGCAAGUCUGGUGCCAGCAGCCGCGGUAAUUCCAGCUCCAAUAGCGUAUAUUAAAGUUGUUGCGGUUAAAAAGCUCGUAGUCGAAUCUGUGUCCCACACUGUCGGUUCACCGCUCGCGGUGUUUAACUGGCAUGUUAUGUGGGACGUCCUACCGGUGGGUGGUGUAAAUUUAUUCCUAAUAUAUAUUAACUUAAAUAAUAUUCAUAUGUAUAUAUAUUAAACGUUCACGAUUUGUUGUUUGUGUGUAUGUGUGUAUUUAAGUUGUUUGUGUUGUCUUUUGUUGUAUUUAUUGUUAUUAUAAUAUAUAUAUAUAUAUAUCUCAUAUCAUAUCAUAUCUUAUAUAAAAUAAGAGUGUGUUGUUGUUGUUGUUGUGUGUUGUUGAGAGUGUGUGUGCCACACACACGGCCAGCAGUGAGCACCCAGCAGCACCCACAUAUAUAUAUAUGUAUAUGUGUAUGUUUAUGUGUGUGUGUGUGUGUGUAUAGGUAUAACAGUUGCAACUUGAGAUGCACACAAGGUGCGCACAUAUACCAUGCAAAUUCGUUGCGUUGUUGUAUAUGUGUGAUAUUUUUGUAUAUAUAUAUAUUUAUGUGGAUAAUUUACCGUAAGUGUUUAGCCGUGAAGAACGGCGGCAACCCCCAAUUGAAAUCCCGUCGCGGUGCUCUUAAUUGAGUGUCGAGAUGGGCCGGUACGUUUACUUUGAACAAAUUAGAGUGCUUAAGGCAGGCUCAAAUUUCGCCUGAAUAUUGUGUGCAUGGAAUAAUGGAAUAGGACCUCGGUUCUAUUUUGUUGGUUUUCGGAACUCCGAGGUAAUGAUUAAUACGGACAGAUGGGGGCAUUCGUAUUGCGACGUUAGAGGUGAAAUUCUUGGAUCGUCGCAAGACGGACAGAAGCGAAAGCAUUUGCCAAAAAUGUUUUGAUUGAUCAAGAACGAAAGUUAGAGGUUCGAAGGCGAUCAGAUACCGCCCUAAUUCUAACCAUAAACGAUGCCAGCUAGCGAUCCGCCGAAGUUCCUCCGAUGACUCGGCGGGCAGCUUCCGGGAAACCAAAGCUUUUGGGUUCCGGGGGAAGUAUGGUUGCAAAGCUGAAACUUAAAGGAAUUGACGGAAGGGCACCACCAGGAGUGGAGCCUGCGGCUUAAUUUGACUCAACACGGGAAACCUCACCAGGCCCGGACACCGGAAGGAUUGACAGAUUGAGAGCUCUUUCUUGAUUCGGUGGGUGGUGGUGCAUGGCCGUUCUUAGUUGGUGGAGCGAUUUGUCUGGUUAAUUCCGAUAACGAACGAGACUCUAGCCUGCUAAAUAGACGUACUUUACCGGCAUCUCAAGGCCCACCGGCUGCUAGUUUUCCAUUAUGUUGUUUACAUGUUUUUUUCAAUAUCUUCUUAUUUUCAAUAUUUUAACACACUAUUUUAUAUAUAUUUAUAUGUAUUUAUAUUAUUAUUAUAUUAUAUUAUGUGUGUGUGUGUCUGUUUGUCUAUUUUAUAUAUGGGGUAUAUUAUUUUUAUAUACAUUUGUGUGUAUAAUUAAUUACCCCCUCUAUAUAUUUAUAGAUAUAUAUAAAGAUACAUAUAUAUGUAUGUCCUAAUAUAAUGGUGGUGGUGUGUGUGGUGUAUGUGUUUGUGUUUUAUAUUAUAUUGUUAUGAUGGAAGAAUGGAAUGGCAUGUUUAACACGUAUGGGCUACAGUUUUUUGGUGUGGUUUUUACUGCCGGCGUACAAAUAAUUCUUCUUAGAGGGACAGGCGGCUUCUAGCCGCACGAAGAUUGAGCAAUAACAGGUCUGUGAUGCCCUUAGAUUUUUUGGGCCGCACGCGCGCUACACUGAAGGAAUCAGCGUGUCCUCCCUGGCCGAAAGGUCCGGGUAACCCGCUGAACCUCCUUCGUGCUAGGGAUUGGGGCUUGCAAUUGUUCCCCAUGAACGAGGAAUUCCCAGUAAGCGCGAGUCAUAAGCUCGCGUUGAUUACGUCCCUGCCCUUUGUACACACCGCCCGUCGCUACUACCGAUUGAAUGAUUUAGUGAGGUCUUCGGACUGGUACGCGGUAACGUUUCCGACAUUACCGAUGUUGCUGGGAAGAUGACCAAACUUGAUCAUUUAGAGGAAGUAAAAGUCGUAACAAGGUUUCCGU